GGUCGUAUCGUAACUGUCGAACAACUCUACUGCUUCACCAACCCUCACUAUGGCUACUGUUUCAAAACUUUGCAAUUCACCAACUGCAGCUCUCUCCUCUUCUUCACCAUCGUUCAAACCCAGAUCCUCUUCUGGGUUAGUUUCUUUCGUUUCUCUCAAAAACAAUACUGGGUUCAACUCCAAAGUUGUGUCCUAUCAGUUGAACCUUACAAAAUAGCCUUGUUUUGGGAGGCUUCUUGGUUGUCAGGUUUUCUCAACCAGGUGGAAAUGGAACAGCAACAAAAAGAACAUCUCUCCAUGAUCUUUAUGAAAAGGAAGGUCAGAGCCCUUGAUUUUCCAGAAAGCUAUUUUAUCUUCAAACGCUUACAAUGGUCAAUUCAGUUAUUACAAAUGGGAACUUGUACAAUCUGGAAAAGACAUUGAAGCUGCAUACUGGGAAGUUCUGAUUAAGGACAUUCAAGAUGCGUGCAAACUUUUUGAGCAUAUUUAUGAUGAAACUGAUGGUGGUGACGGCUAUGUUUCGGUCAAAGUUUCACCUAGACUUGCUGAUGAUACUAAAGGGACUGUAAAGGCGGCAAAAUGGCUUCAUAAAGUGGUUGACCGCCCCAAUGUCUAAAUUAAGAUUCCUACCACGGCUCCAUGUAUUGCUUCUAUCGAGGAAGUUAUAGCAAAUGGCAUUAGCGUCAACGUGACUCUGAGUUCUGUGCUUCCCUUUCUAGUUUUGGGCUAUAUAAACAAUUUUAUUGUAGAAGUUGUCUUAAUUUGUACUAUUAUAUGCUGGCGUAUUCUGCUAUUUCUUUGAGUGCGAAGUAUGUGCCCCUGCUGUAUUGAUCCAAGGGAUCAAAAUUUUGGUUCCUCAAACUCCUUCAAUUUUCCUAUGUUUCAAACUGACAACUUGUGAAUGUUAGUGUCCGAAAUACAAUUUCUGUUGUGUUUGUACAGCUCAUUUUCUCUCUUGCUAGAUAUGAAGCAGUCAUUGAUACUUACUUGGAUGGCCUGGAGGCUUCUGGUCUAGAUGACCUCUCCAGAGUUACAAGUGUUGCAUCCUUUUUGGUUAGUCGAGUUGACACCCUCAUUGACAAAAUGCUUGAAAAGACUGGAACACUAGAAGCUCUUGAUCUUCGGGGAAAGGUAACUUAGGUUCAAUUGCAUACUUUUACUCCUUGGAACUAUAAAACCUAGAAUUUAAUAUUGUGCUAUAUACGUGACAUCUUAACUAUUUUUGGCUGCCGUGGCUCAAUCUGCCUUGGCAUACCAACUCUACCAGAAGAAGUUUUGUGGUCCAAGAUGGGAAGCUCUUGUGAAGAAAAGCGCAAAGAAGCAGAGGCUGUUGUGGGCCUCAACCAGCGUUAAGAACCCAACCUACCCCGAUACUUUGUUUCAACCAUGCCUGACCAAGCUCUCCAAGCAUUUGUUGAUCAUGGUGUUGUUUCAAGGACGAUCGACGUAAAUAUUUUUGAAGCUAAAGGCAUUUACAAUGCACUUGAGAAGUUGGGAAUUGACUGGAGCUAUGUUAGCACUCAUCUUGAACUUGAAGGAGUCGACUCCUUCAAGAAGAGCUUUGACAGUCUACUUGACACCCUGCAAGAGAAGGCAAACUCUCUGAAGUUGGUAAGCCACUAAGCAAUUGCUUAUGAAUUUGUUCAUUGUGCCCAAAACAAAACAAGUGGGCUCUCAAAUCCUGCCUCUUAGCUUUGUAUGACUUCAUGCUUAUAUGUUGUGUACGAGUAGUGGCUUAGGUCAUAGAAAGUUCUUCCAAUCUAGUUGUAGUAUGUCACAUUCGGUAUUCAUGGCUCUAUUGGAUGUAAAUUUAGUUAACGAUGUUGGAAAUAUCCUGAUGUGGGCUAACAUUAAUUAUAGUUUUUGUUUUAU
Mangifera indica (mango) is the source of this 1872-nucleotide long non-coding RNA. RefSeq lists it as uncharacterized. The record is from RefSeq and is a predicted model, not a curated record. Lineage: Eukaryota; Viridiplantae; Streptophyta; Magnoliopsida; Sapindales; Anacardiaceae. The transcript is spliced from 5 exons.